UGUUCGAGCGGCGACUGUUGGCGUGACCCGGAGCCGAUGGCGGCUUCUCGCCAGCUCGGUUGGUGGAUUCCAUAGUGCCCAUUCGUGUGAGGCGUCGAUAGACAAUUGCAGAUACACCUGAUAUUACAGUACCUCAAAGCAGCCACAUCAUAGGGUCAUCUUUGCCAUUUCUUGCUUGACAUUCCUUCUAUUAACAUGCAGGAUCUUGCCUGUUUGGACCAUACCAAAUCAAGCAGUCCUUUUCCAUGCCUGUAUUCAAGUGGGACGUGAUCAGAUAGCUCCAGAUUCUCCUUAGCAAAAGGUGAACAAAGAAAAGAAAAGGUGAAAGAAAAGAAAAGUACCACUAAGUCAAUAUGCCAAAGGUCUUCCUCAUCAAUACAUAAGCUAUUUCGUCUGGAACUUGUGAAAAGAAAGAUGGGGAGAAUAAAAUGCAAUAUGGAAUAAAUUUGCAUCACUGCAUGGUUACAGUUGAAAACUUUGCUACUAUUUGAAAUGGUUUCUAAGAACCACCGACACGUGCGGUUUUCCCAUGCCUAUUUGUAUUUAUUGAUAACAAAGGAGCAUACCAAAAACUCAAGCGUACAAAAAAGUUGAUCUACUUGCUUGUAUAAAUGAAGACGAUAAUUUUUCAAGGGAAACAAGGUUUUGAGACCAAGCUGCACAGAACCCCUCCAUGUUGAAUUGGCUCUCUGCUUUGACCACGUCUUCAUACAGUGACUGGCUAAGGUUCUGCAUGGGCGCUGGCAUCUCCGAGAAUGUUCCAUGGAGCAGGGAGCUUGUGCUUUGCAGCUCAAAUCCCAACCCAUUAUUACCACUGCUCCCCGUACUGCUACUACUGCUAGGAUUGUUAUUGUCCCAGUAGAAUUGGGCAUUGUGGAUACCAGUGCCUCCAGAGUGUGCAUUGUCUGGUGAUGGAUUGAGGCCUGUUGACGUUGAGAGAGUUGAUGGUGAAACUGGAGGCAUCACAGUGGAAAUUGUGCUGCUACUGGACUCAUUCUGGUUAUACCAGAGUGAAUCCCUACUGCCACCGUUCAUGCUGCUAAAAUCAUUAUUGUAACACAACAGCUGCUGGAACGGGAAAUUUGGAAUUGGGCCUGAUGAACGGCAGCUAGGGAGGUUCUCAUGACCAGAAGUAAGCUGGUCUAGAAAUAAUUCCUUCGGUGGCACCUUCAGACGUGUCAAGCCAGGAGCAGUGCGAGGCUUAGUUACCUUCACUGGCAGAAGCUCUGACGAUUGUGCAGUCUCGCUCAGAAGAUGGCUCAAGUUAUGAAGAGUAACGCCACUUGAUAGGUCAACAUCGCUGGAUUCAGAGGUCCUGUCAGUGCUGAUGGUGGGAGUUGCUUUGCUUCGAUCAACCUCGGCAAGGGGCUUAUGGGUGUUUGGGUCAAUGCCUUUCUGCCGCAGCUUCUUUUUGAUACAAGAGUUCCAGAGAUUCUUGAUCUCAUUGUCAGUUCUUCCAGGCAGUCGUGUUGCAAUUUGAGACCACCUGCUCAUUGAUGUGAAAGAAAAGUCCAUAGUUAAAGGAAGCACAAUUCGAGGUAGUUAAGUCCUAAACUAUAGCAGUGCAAUUGAGCUCAAAUUUACCUGUUUCCGAGAACAGCAUGGAGCUCAACGAUGAGGUCUUCCUCCUCCUGAGAGAAUGCACCUCUCUUAAGGUCAGGCCUCAAGUAGUUUAUCCAUCUCAGCCUGCAGCUUUUGCCACAUCUUUGAAGCCCUGCAAACAAUUCGUUGGGUAGCUAAGAUUUCCGCGGAGACUUAAAUUGACUCGGGAGAAAGAAGAGGAGGUGGAUAAUUGACAAGAAUAAAGUGCAGAAUAUUUUGGAUGUACACCUGCAAGUUUUGGAACGGUGCUCCAGCAGCCAUGGCCAUGCUUGGUUAUGUGGUUCAUGAGCUUCUCAUCCUCCUCAGGUGACCAGAGCCCCUUCCUGAGCUUCUGCUUGUAGCAGCAGGAAUGUCUCCCCAUUGAAGUAAUGCAGAAACUGAAGCUGAAGCCAAGCUCUGCAAUCACACAGCUGGCCCUUCUAAGUAAUUCCCACAGCACACAACUUUACUUAGGUAUUCCUCUCGAUGAUUCAGAGCUCAAGAGUGGGAUUGCUACGAGGGAACAGUCUAUAGUGGCUCAUAUAUUGGUGCUUGAUAGGGUGGAGCUUGUGGCAGAGUGGCAGCAACAAGUGGCUGAAGAUAUCAGGAUUUGAAGGAAGGCAUAGGUAUGUUACUUUGUACACAAGCCAGUUAAAAGUAAAGGAUGCAUGCCAAAGUUGCAUAAUUUGGAAAAGGAUUGAUGUAGUUUCUCGUGUGAUUAAUGAAUGUGACCUGCAGCUGCUAGUCCAUCACUGCUACUAUGAGCUUUUUCCCUCAGCAACCUCUGCGUCAUGAGCAUUCCAUGCAGGGAAAGUGCACAGUUGGAAAGUCAGUGGAUCACUUCUUACCUGGAGAAAGCUUUGUAUCAAUCAUCGAUGGGCGGCACCAAAUGUUUGUAUUCCAGGACAGAAAGAAUCUUUCCUUUUCUUUAUCUCAAGCAGCCAGCUAUGUUGUUUUUCUUUAGGACCUCCAAGUUCCAAUCAGAAAUCUGUGCCCCAAUCCAAUAAAAUCAUCUCUGGCACCUCUCAAGAUGCUACUAGCAAUCAGCUCUGAGAAUCAGAGCUAUGCUGAUGAUUGCUUUUUGCAGAGGUACAGACAGUAUGAUUUUCUUCACUGUCCGUGUUCUCGCUCAGAAGCAAAUCCCAAUAACACCAGGGCACAUGUUUAUUAGCAUUGGUCUGGUUAUUAUAGAGAGAGGUGUGCUUCUUGUUAAACUAUUUUAUGGUUAUUAUACCGAAAACUCCAGAUGAUGCUUUGUUUGGAGACUGAACAGUUGAGGUAUAAUAAUCUCGGUGAGGUGGCUAACACAGGCAUUUUAUUUCUUAUCCUUGCCCGGAUGCUUGAAAGAAAAAAGGUUUGAUUCUUGAUGAUUGGAAGAUACAAUGGCAUCCUCUUGGUGCCCAUGUGAUUGUGGAUACCCUUCUUGAUUAAACAGGCGCAGAAACUAUUAUAUGGUUUGUACAUUUUUAUAAUCCGGACGAUCUGUACAAUCCGGCUUUUCAUGAAGCUCCGAAGCUUCCUUUGUUCUUUUCUGGAGAUUUUCUUCACCUUUAGACUGACCUGAUAAUAAAAACACUUGUUUAAUAUAAUAUGUGUACAUGAAGAUUACAGUAGGUUGUGUGUUGUCGGGGUCACCCAUGCAAUUAUAUAUGAAAAAAAAAACAGU
Oryza brachyantha (malo sina) is the source of this 3247-nucleotide long non-coding RNA. RefSeq lists it as uncharacterized. The transcript is spliced from 7 exons. The record is from RefSeq and is a predicted model, not a curated record. NCBI's taxonomy places the organism in Eukaryota, Viridiplantae, Streptophyta, Magnoliopsida, Poales, Poaceae.